CCAUCGCAUACAACCUCGCCGCCGCUGUGAGCCUCCGGUCCGCCGCGCUUCACCGUUGCUCUUAGUCUUUUUUCCGGUCGCCGCCUCCCCUCUUCGAAGGCCGGUUGAGGUCACCCGACAAGUUAAACACUUCGAAGAGAACCAUUCCGUUCGAUUUCUCGCUUAAUUAGUCGGGCAGAGAAGCUUGAAGGUGAUCUAUCAAGGUCGCCGCCGUCGACUGGAAUUUCAUAAUUUCCUCCGCACAUGGGUACGCCUAUGAUAUUAU
Long non-coding RNA from Salvia miltiorrhiza (redroot sage), 265 nucleotides. RefSeq lists it as uncharacterized. The record is from RefSeq and is a predicted model, not a curated record. The transcript is spliced from 3 exons. NCBI's taxonomy places the organism in Eukaryota, Viridiplantae, Streptophyta, Magnoliopsida, Lamiales, Lamiaceae.